AAAUUGAUUUUAUGCUAUUGCAUGGUUUGGGUAUAAAUAAGAAUUAGCUAUUACAGGUACAUGUACAAAUACGGGGAUAAAAAAAAUAGCGUUUGGAUGAAAAUUGAAUUAUUCCCUGGAAUAAGAAAAAUAGCCUGUGGAUAGAUAAUAUGGAAUAAAAAAAAUAGUGGGUAGUUAUAUAUAGAAAAUAAAAGUAUUGGUGGGAAUAGUUAUACCAGCUUAUUUCAGAUACUCGAGAAUUACUAUUCUCGAAUAAAAAAUUUAUGUUUAGGUAUAAAAGAGGAUAAGGGGUUAUCCCUCCUCUU
This 305-nucleotide long non-coding RNA is filed under the name Ananas comosus (pineapple). RNAcentral's name for it is "long non-coding RNA (ACOM_LNC006716)". Lineage: Eukaryota; Viridiplantae; Streptophyta; Magnoliopsida; Poales; Bromeliaceae. The record is from RNAcentral.